UUGUUAAUCACCAGCUUCAAUAUCUGCCUCCCGAGCCAGAACAAGUAAGCUGUUAGCACGGCUGCAAACACGCCGAGGAUGACGGUACUCAGGAGAGGAUAAACGCACAGCGCGACCUCUUCCCCAUCGAUAAUAACUCGGGAAUAGGUCCUCGUGAAGCUGGGCGGCAGGUUUACGUAAGAGCCGCUACCACCGUUUAGGCGGGACUCGGAUAAAACAACCGCGAGUUGAAGAGCGAGCAUAGGGAGACAGUAAAGAAGGAUGUAACAAGCGGUGUUCCUGUUCCAUUUCCCGCUCAGAGCGCCCCCAGACUCCAUCUUGAGAGGAGCGCGCAGAAGAAACAUGAGCGUGAGAAAGAGGCAAGGCUCCGCAAACCCUAGAUUCGAGACGGUGUACCACUUGCAGACGUUUUCUUGCCAUCUGAGAUCCAACCCGCUCAGUAUCCUCCUGUGACGGCGAAACAAACUCAGCCGGAGAAUCUCGCCAACAGCCCAGCAGAUAGCGAAGAGGAUGAAAGCGAUACGGAUAAUCCAAGGGCCGCUGAAGUAACCGAGCUGGAGAAACCCUUGUUUACGAACGUGAGACUGGAAGUAGAAAGAGUAAGCGAUGCAGAGGAGACCGAGGAGGAUGAGGAGAAGGACUAGAGAGAUGGUCAGCACGCCGAAUGCAUCGGGAACUAAUUUGGUCAGGGGCAUCACCCAAAACACAGUAUCCACGCAUGCUCUCUACCAGCAUGGGUGCCUGCAGCCUUGUCUCCAAAACAAUGCCAAGCUACGGAAGACCCACAUUCAUUCACAGCAGCAGCAGCCCAGAUCACCCGAAUACUACUUUUGUGAUCUUUGACUCUUGCACUUUUUAUGCGUCUUACCUACAUAAACUGAACCAAAAUUAAUUAAUCAAAACAGACAUCAUGUAUCCAAGAUCUAAAAAAAUAAGACAAUAACAAAGCAACCUUCAAGACCACAAGGCUUCAAUAGGGUGAUUUUAAAGACAAGUCAACGAGGUUACAUAACCUUUUUUGUCAUCCCAAAAAGACAUUUUCUUUUCAGACAGAACCAAGAGAUUUUUUUUUUUUUUAAUUACAGCACCAAAGUCAAUACACGAGAGAAUCGCAGGAAGAAAAAUCAAUUUUAUGCGCAUAAUGCAAAACCAAACCAAUCAAGUACAACCAGAUCCGACAUAGAAGAAAACGAAUCCAAAGUCUAUUAAACAAAAUUUCGAAAGAGAGCUUACAAGGAGGAGAAUCUGGAUCCAAAAGAGUUAGAACGGGGAAGAUCUGAGCAGCGGCGGAGAAAAAGAGAGAAGGGGAGAGAGAGAGAUUGGAGGAAUGAGGCGUAAAGAGAGACAAAGGAGAGGAAGAAGAAAAAGGAGGAGAGAUAUGGAAGGAGAAGAAGGAAACUCUCCGUUGGUGACAGGCUGUUUCCAACGUUGGGACUUUGAAAUUUUAUUAAUUUAUAAAUAUAUUAAUUUAUAAAAGUUUCUUUGUUUAGAUUUUUUAUUUUAAGAUAUAUUUAUUCUAAAAUAAGAAAAAAAAUUGAUUUUAGUGUAUUAGCUAGACACUAAUUGUUAUUUACUAAAAUUUGACAUUUAUAUUAGUAUUAUUUUAUCAUUUGGUGUAUAAAAUAUAUAUUGCAUAGAAUUUAAAUGUGAUUUUAGAUAUAAUAUUACUAAAUGCUGCAGACGCUUGUUAAUCACCAGCUUCAAUAUCUGCCUCCCGAGCCAGAACAAGUAAGCUGUUAGCACGGCUGCAAACACGCCGAGGAUGACGGUACUCAGGAGAGGAUAAACGCACAGCGCGACCUCUUCCCCAUCGAUAAUAACUCGGGAAUAGGUCCUCGUGAAGCUGGGCGGCAGGUUUACGUAAGAGCCGCUACCACCGUUUAGGCGGGACUCGGAUAAAACAACCGCGAGUUGAAGAGCGAGCAUAGGGAGACAGUAAAGAAGGAUGUAACAAGCGGUGUUCCUGUUCCAUUUCCCGCUCAGAGCGCCCCCAGACUCCAUCUUGAGAGGAGCGCGCAGAAGAAACAUGAGC
RNAcentral lists this long non-coding RNA (2032 nucleotides) under Brassica napus (rape). RNAcentral describes it as "long non-coding RNA (BNAP_LNC022773)". Lineage: Eukaryota; Viridiplantae; Streptophyta; Magnoliopsida; Brassicales; Brassicaceae. The record is from RNAcentral.